RNAcentral lists this ribosomal RNA (451 nucleotides) under uncultured bacterium. RNAcentral's name for it is "bacterial SSU rRNA". It matches the Rfam family "Bacterial small subunit ribosomal RNA", at positions 325 to 793 of the family's 1533-position model. The record is from RNAcentral.
CACUGUCACUCCUACGGGAGGCAGCAGUGGGGAAUCUUGGACAAUGGGGGGCAAACCCUGAUCCAGCCAUGCCGCGUGAGUGAUGAAGGCCUUAGGGUCGUAAAGCUCUUUCGCCUGUGAAGAUAAUGACGGUAGCAGGUAAAGAAACCCCGGCUAACUCCGUGCCAGCAGCCGCGGUAAUACGGAGGGGGUUAGCGUUGUUCGGAAUUACUGGGCGUAAAGCGCACGUAGGCGGAUCGGAAAGUUGGGGUGAAAUCCCGGGGCUCAACCCCGGAACUGCCUCCAAAACUAAUCGGUCUAGAGUUCGAGAGAGGUGAGUGGAAUUCCGAGUGUAGAGGUGAAAAUUCGUAGAUAUUCGGAGGAACACCAGUGGCGAAGGCGGCUCACUGGCUCGAUACUGACGCUGAGGUGCGAAAGUGUGGGGAGCAAACAGGAUUAGAUACCCUGGUAG